GGACGCGCUUGAACAUCGUUGCGGUGACGAGCAUGUCAUAUCUUCGCGUUUCGUGCGAAGCAGAGAAUGCACGUAACCGCGGCGCAAAGCUGUCUUCCGCCCAGUUCUCGUGAACACUUCAUCCACCAGACAAUAGUUUACCGUAUCGACCUAUUCUCUCUCUUUCUCUCUCGUGUACGCGGCUUCUCCCUCCGUGCCUCGUUUUCAUCUACCUCCUCGUGCCACCCCGCUCCAGCCAACCACGAACUUGCUCUUCUGGCCUUCCCUUCGUGCCUUUCUGCAGAUCCAACUUGUUUCUGUGUGCCAUGAACUCCGAAGCUUCCGAGUCCACUUAGGAACAGCUGCGAACAAUCAACGAGGAGCGAUAUUUUGUCAACUUUCUUGCCGAUAUUUUUACAAGUUCUCGUUCACCUUCGGACACUCUCGGCGUUCUGAGUUAUUGUCUUUAUGUUAUCCUAUCCACGAUCUCGUUCCCGGGUUCAAUUGUAUCGUGUCGCACGAAGUACGAAGACAAUACAUAGAGGGAGUAUAUAAUGAAUAAUUGAAUUCUACACAAAAAUUUUAUUUUCUUCUCUCAGUUAUAACCUGUAGUUAUAUAUAAACAUCAGAAGGAAGAAUAUGGUUAGAUCUUGGAUGUCACAAAAACACGGCAAAGCAAAUAAAAGAUCACAAGCUUACGACUUACUAUCGAACGAACAAAAUUCCAUAGAGUAUUUAAGAAAAUUAGAAGAAAUUCAUGUGAUAUAUAACAGUCCAUAGUAAAAGUUUGGACACUUGCGAAUAUGAUUAACUUGCGAAGUUAACUUCAAUUUGCUCCAAAUCGAACGUCGCUCGUAGACCUCGCGCCGUCACGGUUUCCGAAGUUCUAGUUGGAGAACCAGCAUCGACCAAAAGUACAGAAAGUCCACGGGAGUGAGAGCACGUGCAAGGCAAAGGUUGGUUGUUUCAGAGCUCGUCCGAAUCGUUUCAACCCAGGGUCAGUGGAACGUGCUUGUGUACGAACUGUCCGCAACUGUCAUUCACCUCGUGGCUCGCCACGCGUUCGUGGCGGAUAUUUCCGUAUGGUUUGCGGGAAAAAGUUAUCACGGGAAACGAGGGAAAAAUCGAAGUGCCACAACGGAUGAGUUUUCGCGGCCUGAGAUUCCUCUUUCAUUGGUUACACACAGAGAGAAUGAGAAUAUUGGAAAAAAAAGGAACGCUUCGCGACCACUAUCAGUUACAACAUGGAGAAUUGCAUUUGUACAGUCUGAUUCAUAGGGCCAAAUAUUAUUUCAUUUAUGUUUUUACAUUGUUUUGAUUUUAUGAUUAUUAUGAUUUCAAUAUUAUUUUAGGAUUAAACAGGAAGAUUUUCAUAUCGUGUAAUUUUAAUUAACAAAGUCGAAAAUAUCUUGUCAAACCGAAUGAUGAUUCAAUAUCCUAAUUAUAAUAAGCAGUAUUUGAAAAUUUUGAGAAGGAUGAAAUGACAUAAUUCAACUGCGAAGCCAAAUAGAUGAUAUUGAUAAUAAGAUUAUAAGAUUGAUUAAUAAGUACUGGAUUUUAAAACUGCUUUUUAAUAAAAUAUAUCCUAUAGCCUUUCAAUUGAAAUUGGCUGGAGAGCUUCAAAGAACGCUAGAAGAAAAAUGUAUCCUUAUGCUGCGUUCAAACUUUACUGGCGUGUCAUUUGCAAUUUGUAUUCAAAACUUCCAUGCAUUCUGUCCCACGCAUUUGAUAAACACACACAUACGCACACACAGUAAUGAACUUAGAAACUUAAGUCCACUUUUACGCUAUUUUGUGGCGUAACGACGCAGCUCAACGUUUACCUCCAAAAGCUGUGCAUUUAAUGGAAACAGGAGGAGAAGGAAAAGAAAUACAAGCACUUGUUCGAAUAUAUAUCUGGUUCUAUUCGCGGUCAUUCAAGACUCUCAUUACACUCGUACAUCACUGUGUACAUUGAGCACAUUGAGCUUUCGCGCGUGAAAAGCUGGCCUCGUUAACGAAGCACGAUCGUAAGCAAAGUCGUCUUCCGGAGCGUGUUAUUCGUUCGACGACACAUCAACUGUCACUGAAGGCGACUGUUCACCGUCUCCGGGAUAUAAAAGACGGCCAUACUGACCCCGAAUCGCGGGUUAUCGAAUCGUGCCUUCAUCGACAGAUAGACAUCGAGAUGCGUACUGACAUACAGUCAAAGAGCGUUGUUCGCGUGACAGCGAACCAAGCGUACUCUUACGCCCGUGGUUCACUCUUCUGACAGUCGUGACCUUCGAACGUUUAUCGGUCGGAAACUUUCAUCGGAAUUUCGCCUCCGCUCCCGGUUAAAAAGUCGAACGCUCUAGUUAUCGGCUGCAUGGUGAUUUUGUCUUUGGAUAAAUCGACAAAUCGAGGGACAAGUGAAAAUAACGGACGAUGACGGAACACGGAGAGAAUGGAAUCGAGCAGUAUGUUCCUGUCAGGUACGUUCCGAGUAAAUCUCAAAUUUUUCAAAUAUAGUGAUACAACGUUUCAUAACUAUUUAACAACAGAACUGCCAAAGUAAUCAAAAUGAUUAAUUCAUAAUUGUAAACUUUCUCCUACUCUUUGUACUUUAAUUUGAAUGACUUUGAACACGUGAUUUUUAUAAUAAUUUCAAGUUAUCGUCUAGCAUCGCUUGAUAAUUUUAUUACAUGAAUAGUCUAUAGCAUUAAGAAAGGAUACUACAAAUAUCAAGGAGUAAGUCGCAAGAUUUCUAGAUAUUCUAUUUAAGUAGCCAGUCGAAACUUCUGCUUUCCCCAAAACUUAUAAAGUGCUCCGGCCCGCAUAACUUCCGGCUUCGUAGACUAAUCUUCAUCGUUUUCUGGUAGUUCACAGUGAGGUAGGUCGGCAUAGUUUCCCGUUGAUGCCGCCUUUCUAUUCGAAAGACUCGUCAGGGAACAAGAAAGCAUAACGUGGUCGGGUGUCGCGACGCCAGACGUGGUUGCAUUUACGAAAAGGAUGAUAAAAUGAACGCGCGUUGCUUAGAAACGUAAAUGCAAUUAAGUUCUGCCUGGAUGCACCCAGCAGUUCUCAAUGCGAAACACGAAACAAUUCUUCACUACUAAAAGUUCUGCUUACAAUUGCAGAAGGAAAGUUUAUGCUACUACGAAUGAAAUUUGUAAUUCUUUAUUGGUGUAUUGGACUGGUAAAAAGAAUUUUCGGCUUUGAGGAACUUAAAAAGAUGUAUUUUGAA
Long non-coding RNA from Frieseomelitta varia, 3184 nucleotides. RefSeq lists it as uncharacterized. Lineage: Eukaryota; Metazoa; Arthropoda; Insecta; Hymenoptera; Apidae. The transcript has 4 exons. The record is from RefSeq and is a predicted model, not a curated record.